This 500-nucleotide long non-coding RNA is filed under the name Olea europaea (common olive). Its description in RNAcentral is "long non-coding RNA (OEUR_LNC000276)". The record is from RNAcentral. Lineage: Eukaryota; Viridiplantae; Streptophyta; Magnoliopsida; Lamiales; Oleaceae.
UUGUCGCCAACUCUUCUACCCAUCUUUAAUUGGCUUGGUAGUAUCAAUCUGUUUUGCUUUUUCUUAGUCGAAAUUUGCUGAUAGUGCUUCCAAACUAUUGCCAAUGAAUUGUCUACACUUGGCAAUCUAUCGAGUGAUGAGGAUCUUCUUCUCUACAGUCCUCAUGGUCUUGGACCGGCAUAUAAAGAGGUUAUUACAGUCCUUCACACGAGAUUUCUGUUGGAAUGCGGAAGCGGAAUUAAUCAGAAAUUAAAAUUUUCUUUAAUUUAAUAAGCAAGAUCGUCUAGAUGAUCACGUGUAUGUUAUAACAAAAUUAAAGGAUUCGAAUAUUUUACCUAAAUUCAAUGAUCAACCUUGAAUUAACUCUGAUUCGCGAACUUCUGUCUCCUUUAACUGCAAGAAUCUUGGCGCUUCAAACCUUCAAGCCUUCUAUGGUAUUCUCCAAUGUAAAUACUACACUAACGUGUGGGCACCUUCUUUCAAUUAAUCCAGAAACUAAU